Molecule: long non-coding RNA, 696 nt
Organism: Pongo pygmaeus (Bornean orangutan)
Lineage: Eukaryota; Metazoa; Chordata; Mammalia; Primates; Hominidae
Exons: 3
Source: RefSeq, a predicted model, not a curated record
AGGGGAGGAGCCGGGAGAGCGGGGCCGCUGCAAGGAUCGUGGAGCGCUGCGUUCCGCGCAGGACGCCGGCUCUCUGUCACCCAGAGCUGGAGUGCAGUGGCACAAUCAUAGCUCACUGAAGCCUCAGACUCUUGGCCUCAAGUGAUCCUCCUGCUUUGACCACCCAACAUAGGAUUACAGGCAUGAGCCACCACAUCUGGCCUGUCUUUCCAUCGGAAGAAGUUUUGUCACAUGGAAGUUCUGCCUCUGGCUUGGGAAGGCACUUUGGGCCACACAGAAGAGGACUGUCCUGGGACAUUUGUAUUUUGGAGAGUGGUUUCUGAAUCCACUUUUAUCUUUCUGUACUUCUCUCUACUAUUCUGAAUUUCUCAAUCUGUCUCUCUCUUUCUCUCCCUCCCUCUUAUUGUGUGUAUUUAUUUUUUAGAGCAUGUGACUUUUAAUGCAAAUACAUACAUACAAAGAAUAUAAAAUUCUCCCUUCAUUCCUCCCCACCCUCCAAUUCCUAUUCCCCUCCCAGCACCACUGUUUACAUUUUAGUGUGUGUCUUUUUAGUCCUUAACACAUACAUUAAAGAAAGUACGUUGACUUCCAAUUUCACUAUUUUUUUCAUUUCAUAAAUAUUGUACUGUCUUAUCUUCCCCCCCAAAUUACCAUUUUUAAUAUAAAUAUAUUAAUUUAAUAACUGGAGGAGAUGCA